Molecule: ribosomal RNA, 262 nt
Filed under: Escherichia coli
Lineage: Bacteria; Pseudomonadati; Pseudomonadota; Gammaproteobacteria; Enterobacterales; Enterobacteriaceae
Description: partial 16S ribosomal RNA
Rfam family: Bacterial small subunit ribosomal RNA
Source: RNAcentral
AAAUUGAAGAGUUUGAUCAUGGCUCAGAUUGAACGCUGGCGGCAGGCCUAACACAUGCAAGUCGAACGGUAACAGGAAGAAGCUUGCUUCUUUGCUGACGAGUGGCGGACGGGUGAGUAAUGUCUGGGAAACUGCCUGGUGGAGGGGGAUAACUACUGGAAACGGUAGCUAAUACCGCAUAACGUCGCAAGACCAAAGAGGGGGACCUUCGGGCCUCUUGCCAUCGGAUGUGCCCAGAUGGGAUUAGCUAGUAGGUGGGGUA